This 445-nucleotide ribosomal RNA is filed under the name uncultured bacterium. RNAcentral describes it as "partial 16S ribosomal RNA". It matches the Rfam family "Bacterial small subunit ribosomal RNA", at positions 354 to 796 of the family's 1533-position model. The record is from RNAcentral.
GUGAGGAAUAUUGGUCAAUGGGCGAGAGCCUGAACCAGCCAAGUCGCGUGAAGGAUGAAGGUUUUAUGAAUUGUAAACUUCUUUUGCAGGGGAAUAAAGUACGGUACGUGUACCGUUUUGUAUGUACUCUGCGAAUAAGGAUCGGCUAACUCCGUGCCAGCAGCCGCGGUAAUACGGAGGAUCCAAGCGUUAUCCGGAUUUAUUGGGUUUAAAGGGUGCGCAGGCGGGUUGAUAAGUCAGCGGUGAAAGUUUGCAGCUUAACUGUAAAAUUGCCGUUGAAACUGUCGAUCUUGAGUGCAAAUGAGGUAAGCGGAAUGUGUUGUGUAGCGGUGAAAUGCUUAGAUAUAACACAGAACACCGAUUGCGAAGGCAGCUUACUGGGAUGCAACUGACGCUCAUGCACGAAAGCGUGGGGAUCAAACAGGAUUAGAUACCUGUGUAGUCC